RNAcentral lists this ribosomal RNA (406 nucleotides) under uncultured bacterium. RNAcentral's name for it is "partial 16S ribosomal RNA". It matches the Rfam family "Bacterial small subunit ribosomal RNA", at positions 29 to 526 of the family's 1533-position model. The record is from RNAcentral.
AUUGAACGCUGGCGGCAGGCCUAACACAUGCAAGUCGAGCGAGCGGCGGACGGGUGAGAAAUAUCUGGGAAACUGCCUGAUGGAGGGGGAUAACUACUGGAAACGGUAGCUAAUACCGCAUACCAUCAGAUGUGCCCAGAUGGGAUUAGCUAGUAGGUGUGGUAACGGCUCACCUAGGCGCCGAUCCCUAGCUGGUCUGAGAGGAUGACAAGCAACACGGGAAAGGAGACACGGGCCAGACGCCUACGGGAGGCAGCAGGGGGGAAUAUUGCACAAUGGGCGCAAGCCUGAUGCAGCCAUGCCGCGUGUGUGAAGAAGGCCUUCGGGUUGUAAAGCACUUUCAGCGGGGAGGCGUUACCCGCAGAAGAAGCACCGGCUAACUCCGUGCCAGCAGCCGCGGUAAUAC